Paludibacter propionicigenes WB4 is the source of this 35-nucleotide regulatory RNA element. It matches the Rfam family "DUF805b RNA". From Rfam's summary of the family: Bacteroidetes, Chlorobi (1 example), Proteobacteria. Lineage (Flavobacteria) The record is from Rfam. NCBI's taxonomy places the organism in Bacteria, Pseudomonadati, Bacteroidota, Bacteroidia, Bacteroidales, Paludibacteraceae.
ACGGAGCAACCCGAAAAUCCAUAACAGAGUUGGGA